GUUUGAUGUUCUAACGUGGACCCGUGAUCCGGGUUGCGGACAGUGUCUGGUGGGUAGUUUGACUGGGGCGGUCUCCUCCUAAAGAGUAACGGAGGAGCACGAAGGUUGGCUAAUCCUGGUCGGACAUCAGGAGGUUAGUGCAAUGGCAUAAGCCAGCUUGACUGCGAGCGUGACGGCGCGAGCAGGUGCGAAAGCAGGUCAUAGUGAUCCGGUGGUUCUGAAUGGAAGGGCCAUCGCUCAACGGAUAAAAGGUACUCCGGGGAUAACAGGCUGAUACCGCCCAAGAGUUCAUAUCGACGGCGGUGUUUGGCACCUCGAUGUCGGCUCAUCACAUCCUGGGGCUGAAGUAGGUCCCAAGGGUAUGGCUGUUCGCCAUUUAAAGUGGUACGCGAGCUGGGUUUAGAACGUCGUGAGACAGUUCGGUCCCUAUCUGCCGUGGGCGCUGGAGAACUGAGGGGGGCUGCUCCUAGUACGAGAGGACCGGAGUGGACGCAUCACUGGUGUUCGGGUUGUCAUGCCAAUGGCACUGCCCGGUAGCUAAAUGCGGAAGAGAUAAGUGCUGAAAGCAUCUAAGCACGAAACUUGCCCCGAG
RNAcentral lists this ribosomal RNA (592 nucleotides) under Salmonella enterica. RNAcentral's name for it is "partial 23S ribosomal RNA". It matches the Rfam family "Bacterial large subunit ribosomal RNA", at positions 2212 to 2803 of the family's 2925-position model. The record is from RNAcentral. Lineage: Bacteria; Pseudomonadati; Pseudomonadota; Gammaproteobacteria; Enterobacterales; Enterobacteriaceae. RNAcentral also lists the same sequence under 2 other names.